This 320-nucleotide ribosomal RNA is filed under the name Escherichia coli. Its description in RNAcentral is "bacterial SSU rRNA". It matches the Rfam family "Bacterial small subunit ribosomal RNA", at positions 77 to 397 of the family's 1533-position model. The record is from RNAcentral. RNAcentral also lists the same sequence under 1 other name. Lineage: Bacteria; Pseudomonadati; Pseudomonadota; Gammaproteobacteria; Enterobacterales; Enterobacteriaceae.
AGCUUGCUGUUUCGCUGACGAGUGGCGGACGGGUGAGUAAUGUCUGGGAAACUGCCUGAUGGAGGGGGAUAACUACUGGAAACGGUAGCUAAUACCGCAUAACGUCGCAAGACCAAAGAGGGGGACCUUCGGGCCUCUUGCCAUCGGAUGUGCCCAGAUGGGAUUAGCUAGUAGGUGGGGUAACGGCUCACCUAGGCGACGAUCCCUAGCUGGUCUGAGAGGAUGACCAGCCACACUGGAACUGAGACACGGUCCAGACUCCUACGGGAGGCAGCAGUGGGGAAUAUUGCACAAUGGGCGCAAGCCUGAUGCAGCCAUGC